Notolabrus celidotus (New Zealand spotty) is the source of this 890-nucleotide long non-coding RNA. RefSeq lists it as uncharacterized. NCBI's taxonomy places the organism in Eukaryota, Metazoa, Chordata, Actinopteri, Labriformes, Labridae. The transcript has 3 exons. The record is from RefSeq and is a predicted model, not a curated record.
CAGACUUUCUGUUAGACAACUUUGGAUUUAUUCCAUUACAAUUUAAAUUUGUUUUUUCUUGUUGGAUUUUCAGUUGGACUAUAACCCCUUUGUUUUUUGUUUAAUUAAUUUUAUUUGCCUGCACUUGUGUCCUUUCCUUUUGUUUUUGCUCUCACAGCAUGGCAAAGGAGAAAAAAGACAACACCUUAUAGGGCAUGAAACUUUUUGUCCGUGGUGUUCAGGCCCCUGAGAUGUGUGAGCAGCUUCUCUUGAAUCCUCUGAGCCACUCUGGAUACUUUGGCCUCUGCACCUCGAAUGGGCUUACUUAUGGAGGGGUGUUAUAACUUCAGAGGAAGUUAAGAUUAAAGAUGGCAGUCUUCUUGGUGUGGAUGUCAAGACCCCUGGGUGACAUCAGAGCUGGGGACUGAGCUCAGCAGAGAAUAAUGUGAGUUCGCAGUGGGCUCAGGUGAUACUGCAAGCUGGAUAUUAAAGAGAGGAAAGAACCAUCAGAGGAAAUUCUUGGCUUUUCCAGUCUUCACCUCUGCUCUCUGCUUUUUACUCACGACGGCUGCAAACAUCUCCUGACAGAAAAUACCUACUUUUUACUUCCACAAGGUCCCUCUAUCCAGUGUGACAUUACAUUUGCUGUAAAAGCCAACAAAAAUGUUGUCUAUAUCCCAUACAUGGCAGAAAUCAGAGAGAACACCUAACCUUUGUGAGAGACUUCUGAAGUAUACUGUGUUUGAAUAUGUAAGUGUCUUUAUUCAGGAUAAAUUGUAGUAUAAGUAACUUUAACAUCCCUUCAUUUAAAAUAUUCUGGGAUUGAUAUACAUUAAAAUGCAAAUUUAAAACAUAAACUAUUUUCAUUACAUGUUUUACUGAGUAUUUGGCACAAGAUAUGGGCUGAGAUU